This 253-nucleotide ribosomal RNA is filed under the name uncultured bacterium. Its description in RNAcentral is "partial 16S ribosomal RNA". It matches the Rfam family "Bacterial small subunit ribosomal RNA", at positions 524 to 776 of the family's 1533-position model. The record is from RNAcentral.
UACGUAGGGGGCUAGCGUUGUCCGGAAUCAUUGGGCGUAAAGCGCGUGUAGGCGGUCCGGUAAGUCCGCUGUGAAAGUCGGGGGCUCAACCCUCGGAUGCCGGUGGAUACUGUCGGGCUUGAGUACGGAAGAGGCGAGUGGAAUUCCUGGUGUAGCGGUGAAAUGCGCAGAUAUCAAGAGGAACACCUGCGGCGAAGGCGGGUUGCUGGGCUGACACUGACGCUGAAGUGCGAAAGCUAGGGGAGCGAACGGG